This 274-nucleotide ribosomal RNA is filed under the name uncultured bacterium. RNAcentral describes it as "partial 16S ribosomal RNA". It matches the Rfam family "Bacterial small subunit ribosomal RNA", at positions 523 to 796 of the family's 1533-position model. The record is from RNAcentral.
AUACGGAGGGUGCAAGCGUUAUUCGGAAUCACUGGGCGUAAAGGGUGCGUAGGCGGUUUGAUAAGUCUGAUGUGAAAUCCUAUGGCUCAACCAUAGAACUGCAUUGGAAACUGUCAGACUAGAAUACUGAAGGGGCAGAUGGAAUUAGUGGUGUGGGGGUAAAAUCCGUAGAUAUCACUAGGAAUACCGAAAGCGAAAGCGAUCUGCUGGGAAGUUAUUGACGCUGAGGCACGAAAGCGUGGGGAGCAAACGGGAUUAGAAACCCCAGUAGUCC